RNAcentral lists this ribosomal RNA (940 nucleotides) under Amanita brunneolocularis. RNAcentral's name for it is "partial large subunit ribosomal RNA". It matches the Rfam family "Eukaryotic large subunit ribosomal RNA", at positions 37 to 962 of the family's 3401-position model. The record is from RNAcentral. Lineage: Eukaryota; Fungi; Basidiomycota; Agaricomycetes; Agaricales; Amanitaceae.
AGCAUAUCAAUAAGCGGAGGAAAAGAAACUAACAAGGAUUCCCUUAGUAACUGCGAGUGAAGAGGGAAAAGCUCAAAUUUAAAAUCUGGCAGUGUUUUCACUGUCCGAGUUGUAACCUAGAGAAGUGUAACCUGCGCUGGACCGUGUAUAAGUCUCCUGGAAUGGAGCAUCACAGAGGGUGAGAAUCCCGUCUUUGACAUGGACCACCAGUGCAUUGUGGUUGUGCUCUCAACGAGUCGAGUUGUUUGGGAAUGCAGCUCUAAAUGGGUGGUAAAUUCCAUCUAAAGCUAAAUAUUGGCGAGAGACCGAUAGCGAACAAGUACCGUGAGGGAAAGAUGAAAAGAACUUUGGAAAGAGAGUUAAACAGUAUGUGAAAUUGUUGAAAGGGAAACGUUUGAAGUCAGUCGCGUUGGUUGGGGAUCAGCCUGACAUUGUUGGGUUUACUUCCUGGUCGACGGGCCAACAUCAGUUUUGACUGCCAGAAAAAGGCCAAAGGAAUGUGGCACCCUUUGGGUGUGUUAUAGCCAUUGGUCGUAUAUGGUGGUUGGGACUGAGGAAAGCAGCGUGCCGAAAGGCCGGGUUUCGACCACGUUCACGCUGAGGAUGUUGGCAUAAUGGCUUUAAGCGACCCGUCUUGAAACACGGACCAAGGAGUCUAACAUGCAUGCGAGUGUUUGGGUGGAAAACCCUUACGCGUAAUGAAAGUGAAAGUUGAGAUCCCUGUCGUGGGGAGCAUCGACGCCCGGACCAGAACUUUUGGGACGGAUCUGCGGUAGAGCACGUAUGUUGGGACCCGAAAGAUGGUGAACUAUGCCUGAAUAGGGUGAAGCCAGAGGAAACUCUGGUGGAGGCUCGUAGCGAUUCUGACGUGCAAAUCGAUCGUCAAAUUUGGGUAUAGGGGCGAAAGACUAAUCGAACCAUCUAGUAGCUGGUUCCUGCC